CGUUCCCGGGCCUUGUACACACCGCCCGUCAAGCCAUGGAAGUUGGGAGUACCUGAAGUCGAUCACCGCAAGGAGUCGCCUAGGGUUAAAAUCAAUGACUGGGCU
RNAcentral lists this ribosomal RNA (105 nucleotides) under uncultured bacterium. Its description in RNAcentral is "partial 16S ribosomal RNA". It matches the Rfam family "Bacterial small subunit ribosomal RNA", at positions 1369 to 1482 of the family's 1533-position model. The record is from RNAcentral.